AGGGUUCGAUUAUGGCUCAGGAUGAACGCUAGCUACAGGCUUAACACAUGCAAGUCGAGGGGAAACGACAUCGAAAGCUUGCUUUUGAUGGGCGUCGACCGGCGCACGGGUGAGUAACGCGUAUCCAACCUGCCCACCACUUGGGGAUAACCUUGCGAAAGUAAGACUAAUACCCAAUGAUAUCUCUAGAAGACAUCUGAAAGAGAUUAAAGAUUUAUCGGUGAUGGAUGGGGAUGCGUCUGAUUAGCUUGUUGGCGGGGUAACGGCCCACCAAGGCGACGAUCAGUAGCCGGCCUGAGAGGGCGACCGGCCACAUUGGGACUGAGACACGGCCCAG
This 337-nucleotide ribosomal RNA is filed under the name uncultured bacterium. Its description in RNAcentral is "bacterial SSU rRNA". It matches the Rfam family "Bacterial small subunit ribosomal RNA", at positions 8 to 334 of the family's 1533-position model. The record is from RNAcentral.